GACGUAGGAGGCGAGCGUUAUCCGGAUUUACUGGGCGUAAAGCGCACGCAGGCGGCUUCGUUAGUCGGAUGUGAAAGCUCCUGGCUUAACUGGGAGAGGCCAUUCGAUACUGCGGGGCUUGAGGUUGGAAGAGGGGUGUGGAAUUCCCGGUGUAGUGGUGGAAUGCGUAGAUAUCGGGAGGAACACCUGUGGCGAAGGCGGCACCCUGGUCCACACCUGACGCUGAGGUGCGAAAGCGUGGGGAGCAAACAGG
Molecule: ribosomal RNA, 253 nt
Filed under: uncultured bacterium
Lineage: Bacteria
Description: partial 16S ribosomal RNA
Rfam family: Bacterial small subunit ribosomal RNA
Source: RNAcentral